AUACGUAGGUGACAAGCGUUAUCCGGAUUUACUGGGCGUAAAGGGCGUGUAGGCGGUCUUGCAAGUCAGAAGUGAAAUUCCUGAGCUCAACUCGGGCGCUGCUUCUGAAACUGAAGGACUUGAGUGCUGGAGGGGAUAGCGGAAUUCCUAGUGGAGCGGUAAAAUGCGCAGAUAUUAGGAAGAACACCGGUGGCGAAGGCGGCUAUCUGGACAGUAACUGACGCUGAGGCGCGAAAGCGUGGGGAGCAAACAGGAUUAGAUACCCUGUUAGUCCACGCCGUAAACGAUGAAUACUAGGUGUAGGGGGUAUCGACUCCCUCUGUGCCGCAGUUAACACAAUAAGUAUUCCGCCUGGGGAGUACGGCCGCAAGGUUGAAACUCAAAUGAAUUGACGGGG
This 397-nucleotide ribosomal RNA is filed under the name uncultured bacterium. Its description in RNAcentral is "partial 16S ribosomal RNA". It matches the Rfam family "Bacterial small subunit ribosomal RNA", at positions 523 to 918 of the family's 1533-position model. The record is from RNAcentral.